This 357-nucleotide long non-coding RNA is filed under the name Mytilus galloprovincialis (Mediterranean mussel). The record is from RNAcentral. Lineage: Eukaryota; Metazoa; Mollusca; Bivalvia; Mytilida; Mytilidae.
AAAAAUUAAAUUGUUUAGAUGUAUAACCCAUUUACAAUUAAAAAAUACUAAACAUAAACUGCAGUUUUGAUCUUUUCUCUUUUGAAAGUUUGAUUGUUUUUAUUUUUUAUUAAAAUAUUCAAAAAAGAAUUAUGACGGAUAAAAAAGAGAACAUGUGUAUCAUUUUUGGGAUUAGUUACCUGUCAAAUGCGAAACGGAAUGAAACGAAACGGAACGGAACGAAAUAAAACUAAACAAAACCAAACGAAAUUUGCCAUAACGAAACAAAACACGAAAUAUAUGAAACGAAAUGUAUCAACUUUUUAAUAAAAAAAAAUGUAGAUAAAAAAAUAACAAACCAAGAGGCAUUAGGGGAAA